This 325-nucleotide ribosomal RNA is filed under the name uncultured bacterium. RNAcentral describes it as "bacterial SSU rRNA". It matches the Rfam family "Bacterial small subunit ribosomal RNA", at positions 28 to 334 of the family's 1533-position model. The record is from RNAcentral.
GAUGAACGCUGGCGGCGUGCUUAACACAUGCAAGUCGAACGAAGCACUUUAUUACGAUUUCUUCGGAGUGACGAUUUAGUGACUGAGUGGCGGACGGGUGAGUAACGCGUGGGUAACCUGCCUCAUACAGGGGGAUAACAGUUGGAAACGACUGCUAAUACCGCAUAAGCGCACAGUAUCGCAUGAUACAGUGUGAAAAACUCCGGUGGUAUGAGAUGGACCCGCGUCUGAUUAGCUAGUUGGUGGGGUAACGGCCUACCAAGGCGACGAUCAGUAGCCGACCUGAGAGGGUGACCGGCCACAUUGGGACUGAGACACGGCCCAA